RNAcentral lists this ribosomal RNA (253 nucleotides) under uncultured bacterium. RNAcentral describes it as "partial 16S ribosomal RNA". It matches the Rfam family "Bacterial small subunit ribosomal RNA", at positions 524 to 776 of the family's 1533-position model. The record is from RNAcentral.
UACAGAGGUCCCAAGCGUUGUUCGGAUUCAUUGGGCGUAAAGGGUGCGUAGGCGGCGCGGUAAGUCGGGUGUGAAAUCUCGGAGCUUAACUCCGAAACUGCAUUCGAUACUGCCGUGCUUGAGGACUGGAGAGGAGACUGGAAUUUACGGUGUAGCGGUGAAAUGCGUAGAUAUCGAGAGGAACACCGGUGGCGAAGGCGGCCAACUGGACGAAUACUGACGCUGAGACACGAAAGCGUGGGGAGCAAACGGG